RNAcentral lists this ribosomal RNA (796 nucleotides) under uncultured bacterium. RNAcentral's name for it is "bacterial SSU rRNA". It matches the Rfam family "Bacterial small subunit ribosomal RNA", at positions 8 to 796 of the family's 1533-position model. The record is from RNAcentral.
AGAGUUUGAUCAUGGCUCAGAGCGAACGCUGGCGGCGUGCUUAACACAUGCAAGUCGAGUGCGCAGUUUCCUGUAGCAAUACAGGGGAUGGGCGCACGGCGCACGGGUGCGUAACACGUGGGUAACCUGCCCUCUGAUGGGGGAUAACCCCGCGAAAGCGGGGCUAAUACCGCAUGACAUUCCGAGAAUCUCGGUUCUUGGAUUCAAAGCCCGCAAGGGCGUCGGAGGAGGGGCCCGCGCCCGAUUAGCUCGUUGGUGAGGUAACGGCUCACCAAGGCUGUGAUCGGUAGCCGGUCUGAGAGGACGACCGGCCACACUGGAACUGAGACACGGUCCAGACUCCUACGGGAGGCAGCAGUGGGGAAUCUUGCGCAAUGGGCGAAAGCCUGACGCAGCGACGCCGCGUGGGGGAUGAAGCCCUUCGGGGUGUAAACCCCUUUCGACCCGGACGAAUGGCCCGCAAGGGAGUUGACGGUACGGGUAGAAGAAGCCCCGGCUAACUACGUGCCAGCAGCCGCGGUAAAACGUAGGGGGCCAGCGUUGCUCGGAAUUACUGGGCGUAAAGGGUCCGUAGGCGGUGUGGCAAGUCGGGAGUGAAAUCUCAUGGCUUAACUGUGAGACUGCUUCCGAAACUGCUGUGCUCGAGUGCGGGAGAGGCGAGUGGAAUUGCCGGUGUAGCGGUGAAAUGCGUAGAUAUCGGCAGGAACACCCGUGGCGAAGGCGGCUCGCUGGACCGCAACUGACGCUGAGGGACGAAAGCUAGGGGAGCAAACAGGAUUAGAUACCCUAGUAGUCC